RNAcentral lists this long non-coding RNA (690 nucleotides) under Gallus gallus (chicken). Its description in RNAcentral is "long non-coding RNA NONGGAT008929". Lineage: Eukaryota; Metazoa; Chordata; Aves; Galliformes; Phasianidae. The record is from RNAcentral.
CACAAGUGCUGUAACACUUGCUCGUUUAUUAUUAAAAAACAAUCUUAAAACUCAGAAGAUGAAGAAUGAAUUACUUCUUGGAGCGUCUGCAUACGGGUUAAAAAGAAAUUCGCACAUUUACUGAAUUCCUGUUUUUCAGAUGUCCGAGGUCAAGAAAAGGUUAAAGUUGUUCACUGCUUUCAAGCUCUGGCCUUAGAAGUUAAUUCAGUGCUGUGCUGCGAGAGCUACAGAGUAAAUCCUUGGAACAGUGAAUUGCUGGUUUGAUAUCAAGCUCACGUCAACAUUUCUAUCAGAAAGAAUCACCAUAAUCACCAGAUAUAUUAGCAGAAACUGCUCCUUCCCAUUGACCACAUACGCCAAAAUCCUUGGAAACUCUUAAGCCGUGGACUUCCCCUGAAGACAUACAGAGAAAAUGGCUCAAGCGAACACUCCUCCAUUCCUUCAGUGGAGCCCAGGUCAGCUGUGACAAGCAUCUGCUCUGUGGGUAGGUGCAAAAUACACGACAAAGAUAUCGGCCGUGGAUCCCUUCUGUAAACGAUGACCUCAUCCGGAGGUUAUGGGACCUUCACGAGGAUACCAGUCGUACUCCUCCAUGGCGAUGUGUUACAGUGAGUAACUCGCUUCCUGGAUGCACUUGUAACAGGCAGAUAUCCUAACAACACAGGAUACGCAGACAUGUCCAGGUCUUUA